GUCAGCCCCCGGCCUGACGCGGCGUUGCGUCCCCCGGGAGCUGUGCUAGGCGAACGGCUGCGGCGCUUUGUGCUCCAGUCGCUCCUAACGCUCCCUGGCCCGGCCGGGGCCGCGCAGUUAGGGCAUCUGAGGCGGGGAGAAGCGGCGGGGAGACGCGGCUGCCAGCAUGUCGCUGCCUCCGGAGAAAGCCUCCGAGCUGAAGCAGCUCAUCCACCAGCAGCUGAGCAAGAUGGAUGUCCAUGGUAGAAUAAGAGAAAUCCUUGCCGAGACUAUACGGGAAGAAUUGGCACCUGAUCAACAACAUUUAUCAACAGAAGAUUUGAUCAAAGCCCUUAGACGUCGAGGAAUCAUUGACGAUGUGAUGAAAGAACUUAAUUUUGUUACUGACAGUGUUGAGCAAGAACUCCCUUCCUCUCCAAAACAACCUAUUUGUUUUGAUAGACAAUCGACAUUAAAAAAAACUAAUAUUGAUCCAACACGGAGGUAUCUUUACCUUCAGGUUUUGGGUGGAAAAGCUUUCUUGGAACAUCUGCAAGAACCUGAGCCUUUACCUGGACAAGUUUGUUCAACGUUUACUUUAUGUUUACAUUAUCGAAACCAACGUUUUCGUUCUAAACCUGUUCCAUGUGCCUGUGAACCAGAUUUUCAUGAUGGCUUUUUACUUGAAGUACACAGAGAAAGCUUGGGUGAUGGAACUAGAAUGGCUGAUUCAACAACAAUGUUAUCAAUAAGUGAUCCAAUUCAUAUGGUGCUAAUCAAAACAGACAUAUUUGGUGAGACGACUUUAGUAGCAUCGUAUUUUCUGGAAUGGCGAUCGGUUUUGGGCUCCGAAAAUGGAGUGACCAGUCUGACUGUGGAACUUAUGGGUGUAGGCACAGAAUCUAAAGUUUCUGUGGGAAUUUUAAAUAUAAAACUUGAAAUGUAUCCACCACUCAAUCAAACGUUAUCUCAAGAAGUAGUGAACACACAGCUUGCUUUGGAACGUCAGAAAACUGCAGAGAAAGAGCGAUUAUUUCUUGUAUAUGCUAAGCAGUGGUGGAGAGAAUAUUUGCAAAUUCGACCCUCACACAACUCACGACUGGUUAAGAUUUUUGCACAGGAUGAAAAUGGGAUAAAUAGACCAGUCUGUUCCUAUGUUAAACCACUUCGAGCUGGACGGCUUCUUGAUACUCCAAGGCAAGCAGCAAGAUUUGUUAAUGUCCUUGGUUAUGAGCGAGCCCCUGUUAUUGGAGGAGGAGGUAAACAGGAGCAGUGGUGCACUCUGCUGGCCUUUCUCUGUAGAAACAAGGGUGACUGUGAAGAUCACGCUAACCUUCUGUGCAGCCUUCUUCUUGGAUAUGGAUUAGAAGCCUUUGUUUGUGUUGGGACCAAGGCAAAAGGAGUACCUCAUGCAUGGGUUAUGACUUGUGGAACUGAUGGGACCAUCACUUUUUGGGAGAGUUUAACAGGACACAGGUACAUCCAUAAACCUACCAAUCCUGAUGAACCUCCAGUUGCUGAACAGCCCAAACCACUGUACCCAUAUCGAACAAUUGGUUGUGUUUUCAACCAUCAGAUGUUCCUGGGAAAUUGUCAGCCCUCUGAUGCAGUAGAAACCUGUGUAUUUGAUUUGAAUGAUGAAUCCAAAUGGAAACCCAUGAGUGAGGAAGCAAUUAAAUCCGUUUGUGCUCCUGGAGCUACAACAUCCCUUCCUCCCUUUCCACCUCUGUGUGCAUCCACAAUUGACGCGUCAGUAACAAGUAAUGAAAUUGAAAUGCAGCUGAGGCUCCUGGUGUCAGAACACAGGAAGGAUCUUGGCCUCACUACUGUUUGGGAAGACCAGCUCUCCUACCUUUUAUCACCAGCUUUGGCUUCUUAUGAAUUUGAGCGUACAACAAGUAUAUCAGCAGGCAAUGAAGAAUUUCAAGAUGCCAUAAGAAGGGCUGUACCUGAUGGUCACACAUUUAAAGGGUUCCCAAUACAUUUUGUGUAUAGAAAUGCAAGACGUGCAUUUGCCACAUGUCUUCGAUCUCCUUUCUGUGAAGAAAUAAUCUGUUGCCGUGGAGACCAAGUGCGACUGGCAGUUCGUGUCCGAGUAUUUACUUACCCUGAAUCUGCAUGUGCUGUUUGGAUCAUGUUUGCUUGCCGGGUGUGGUGACUCAAGCCUGUAAUUCCACCCCUUUAGGAGGCCAAGGCAGGUGGAUCAUUUGAGUGAGGAGUUCGAGACCAGUUUGGGCAAUGUGGCGAAACCCUGUCUCUACCAAAAAUACAACAACCACCACCACCACCACCAGGCAUGGUGAAUGUGCCUCUUAGGAGCACUUGUCCAGAAGUGUCUGGGAAAAGCUUGGGCUGCACAGUGAUGGUGCUCCCUGAAAGACUCAGAGCAGCACAGCCAGUACCUCCAGGGUAUGAAGCAUGAAGUACAUUUAUUCUACAAGAAUAAGAAGUAAAUAUAAAAAAAGUCAAGGAUUCAAUUUUUAAUAAAGUAACAAAAUCAACAAAAACAAAAUCAUA
This is an RNA transcript of Gorilla gorilla gorilla (western lowland gorilla), 2496 nucleotides long. It is a transcript of the gene named centrosomal protein 76, with no coding region annotated. Lineage: Eukaryota; Metazoa; Chordata; Mammalia; Primates; Hominidae. The record is from RefSeq and is a predicted model, not a curated record. The transcript is spliced from 14 exons.